RNAcentral lists this transfer RNA (73 nucleotides) under Danionella translucida. It matches the Rfam family "tRNA". Rfam says of the family: Transfer RNA (tRNA) molecules are approximately 80 nucleotides in length. Their secondary structure includes four short double-helical elements and three loops (D, anti-codon, and T loops). Lineage: Eukaryota; Metazoa; Chordata; Actinopteri; Cypriniformes; Danionidae. RNAcentral also lists the same sequence under 1 other name. The record is from Rfam by way of RNAcentral.
GUUUCCGUAGUGUAGUGGUCAUCACGUUUGCCUAACAUGCAAAAGGUCCCCAGUUCGAAACUGGGCUGAAACA